Coregonus clupeaformis (lake whitefish) is the source of this 134-nucleotide long non-coding RNA. RefSeq lists it as uncharacterized. The record is from RefSeq and is a predicted model, not a curated record. Lineage: Eukaryota; Metazoa; Chordata; Actinopteri; Salmoniformes; Salmonidae. The transcript has 3 exons.
GUCAUUCUCCUGGUCCUGCUGUGGAGAAAUCAAAACAACAAAGGUUCCUGUUUCAUCAGAAUAUUCUGGCCCCCUCAGCCCCAGAGCACCAACCAGGACCCCCAACAGGACCAAGGAUCUACCCAGGGCCAGGC